UACGUAGGGUGCAAGCGUUGUCCGGAAUUAUUGGGCGUAAAGAGCUCGUAGGCGGUCUGUCGCGUCGGCUGUGAAAUCCCGGAGCUCAACUCCGGGUCUGCAGUCGAUACGGGCAGACUGGAGUUCGGCAGGGGAGACUGGAAUUCCUGGUGUAGCGGUGAAAUGCGCAGAUAUCGGGAGGAACACCAAUUGCGAAGGCAGCUCGCUGGGACGAUACUGACGCUGAGGCGCGAAAGCGUGGGGAGCAAACAGG
RNAcentral lists this ribosomal RNA (253 nucleotides) under uncultured bacterium. RNAcentral's name for it is "partial 16S ribosomal RNA". It matches the Rfam family "Bacterial small subunit ribosomal RNA", at positions 524 to 776 of the family's 1533-position model. The record is from RNAcentral.